Molecule: ribosomal RNA, 497 nt
Filed under: uncultured bacterium
Lineage: Bacteria
Description: partial 16S ribosomal RNA
Rfam family: Bacterial small subunit ribosomal RNA
Source: RNAcentral
GAUGAACGCUGGCGGCGUGCCUAAUACAUGCGAGUCGAGCGAACGGACGAGAAGCUUGCUUUUCUGAUGUUAGCGGCGGACGGGUGAGUAACACGUGGAUAACCUACCUAUAAGACUGGGAUAACUUCGGGAAACCGGAGCUAAUACCGGAUAAUAUUUUGAACCGCAUGGUUCAUAAGUGAAAGACGGUCUUGCUGUCACUUAUAGAUGGAUCCGCGCUGCAUUAGCUAGUUGGUAAGGUAACGGCUUACCAAGGCAACGAUGCAUAGCCGACCUGAGAGGGUGAUCGGCCACACUGGAACUGAGACACGGUCCAGACUCCUACGGGAGGCAGCAGUAGGGAAUCUUCCGCAAUGGGCGAAAGCCUGACGGAGCAACGCCGCGUGAGUGAUGAAGGUCUUCGGAUCGUAAAACUCUGUUAUUAGGGAAGAACAUAUGUGUAAGUAACUGUGCACAUCUUGACGGUACCUAAUCAGAAAGCCACGGCUAACUACGUG